GAAAGAUGGCUUUGGCUAUCACUCUGGGAUGGACCUGCGGUGCAUUAGCUAGUUGGUAAGGUAACGGCUUACCAAGGCGAUGAUGCAUAGCCGAGUUGAGAGACUGAUCGGCCACAAUGGAACUGAGACACGGUCCAUACUCCUACGGGAGGCAGCAGUAGGGAAUCUUCCACAAUGGGCGCAAGCCUGAUGGAGCAACACCGCGUGAGUGAAGAAGGGUUUCGGCUCGUAAAACUCUGUUGUUGGAGAAGAACGUGCGUGAGAGUAACUGUUCACGCAGUGACGGUAUCCAACCAGAAAGUCACGGCUAACUACGUGCCAGCAGCCGCGGUAAUACGUAGGUGGCAAGCGUUAUCCGGAUUUAUUGGGCGUAAAGCGAGCGCAGGCGGUUGCUUAGGUCUGAUGUGAAAGCCUUCGGCUUAACCGAAGAAGUGCAUCGGAAACCGGGCGACUUGAGUGCAGAAGAGGACAGUGGAACUCCAUGUGUAGCGGUGGAAUGCGUAGAUAUAUGGAAGAACACCAGUGGCGAAGGCGGCUGUCUGGUCUGCAACUGACGCUGAGGCUCGAAAGCAUGGGUAGCGAACAGGAUUAGAUACCCUGGUAGUCCAUGCCGUAAACAAU
RNAcentral lists this ribosomal RNA (621 nucleotides) under uncultured bacterium. RNAcentral's name for it is "bacterial SSU rRNA". It matches the Rfam family "Bacterial small subunit ribosomal RNA", at positions 202 to 810 of the family's 1533-position model. The record is from RNAcentral.